RNAcentral lists this ribosomal RNA (498 nucleotides) under uncultured bacterium. RNAcentral describes it as "partial 16S ribosomal RNA". It matches the Rfam family "Bacterial small subunit ribosomal RNA", at positions 30 to 523 of the family's 1533-position model. The record is from RNAcentral.
AUUGAACGCUGGCGGCAGGCCUAACACAUGCAAGUCGAGCGGAUGACGGGAGCUUGCUCCUUGAUUCAGCGGCGGACGGGUGAGUAAUGCCUAGGAAUCUGCCUGGUAGUGGGGGACAACGUUUCGAAAGGAACGCUAAUACCGCAUACGUCCUACGGGAGAAAGCAGGGGACCUUCGGGCCUUGCGCUAUCAGAUGAGCCUAGGUCGGAUUAGCUAGUUGGUGGGGUAAUGGCUCACCAAGGCGACGAUCCGUAACUGGUCUGAGAGGAUGAUCAGUCACACUGGAACUGAGACACGGUCCAGACUCCUACGGGAGGCAGCAGUGGGGAAUAUUGGACAAUGGGCGAAAGCCUGAUCCAGCCAUGCCGCGUGUGAAGAAGGUCCUCGGAUUGUAAAGCACUUUAAGUUGGGAGGAAGGGCAGUAAGCUAAUACCUUGCUGUUUUGACGUUACCGACAGAAUAAGCACCGGCUAACUCUGUGCCAGCCGCCGCCGUAA